RNAcentral lists this ribosomal RNA (440 nucleotides) under uncultured bacterium. Its description in RNAcentral is "partial 16S ribosomal RNA". It matches the Rfam family "Bacterial small subunit ribosomal RNA", at positions 338 to 795 of the family's 1533-position model. The record is from RNAcentral.
GCUACGGGCGGCAGCAGUGGGGAAUAUUGCACAAUGGGGGAAACCCUGAUGCAGCGACGCCGCGUGAAGGAAGAAGUAUUUCGGUUUGUAAACUUCUAUCAGCAGGGAAGAUAAUGACGGUACCUGACUAAGAAGCACCGGCUAACUCCGUGCCAGCAGCCGCGGUAAUACGUAGGGGGCAAGCGUUAUCCGGAUUUACUGGGUGUAAAGGGCGCGUAGGCGGUUUAGCAAGUCAGAUGUGAAAUCCCGGGGCUCAACCCCGGGACUGCUUUUGAAACUGUUGAACUAGGUUGCAGGAGAGGUAAGUGGAAUUCCUAGUGUAGCGGUAAAAUGCGUAGAGAUUAGGAGGAACACCAGUGGCGAAGGCGGCUUACUGGACUGUAAAUGACGCUGAGGCUCGAAAGCGUGGGGAGCAAACAGGAUUAGAUACCCCAGUAGUC